Non-coding RNA from Cinara cedri, 210 nucleotides. NCBI's taxonomy places the organism in Eukaryota, Metazoa, Arthropoda, Insecta, Hemiptera, Aphididae. The record is from the annotation of a GenBank genome assembly.
AGAAUCUAAAGUAUGUUUUCAAUGUUGAUAAGUUUAGGAUAGGUAUUGUAACAAUACAUUUAUGUUGGAAUUAUAGACUAGAUAUCCUUUAAAGUUACUAGCUUCUGAAUUUAAGUCAUCCAGUUCGCUUAAGUCACUAAACCGAUCACGUCAGUACAGACCGAUACUAAUAUAUGGGUCGGUUAUUUAGGACCCUCAGACAGCUGCAGG